RNAcentral lists this unclassified non-coding RNA (148 nucleotides) under plant metagenome. RNAcentral's name for it is "partial contains small subunit ribosomal RNA and internal transcribed spacer 1". The stretch from base 1 to 46 matches the Rfam family "Eukaryotic small subunit ribosomal RNA", at positions 1786 to 1831 of the family's 1831-position model. The record is from RNAcentral.
AAGUCGUAACAAGGUUUCCGUAGGUGAACCUGCGGAAGGAUCAUUAGAGAUUUGACCUGUGCUCCGGCUCCGAGGCCCCCUCUGUGGGGCCGACGGCCACUUUACACAAUCAGCUGUCACGAACGUAAACUAUUGUAAUCAGAAACAA